AGAGUUUGAUCCUGGCUCAGGACGAACGCUGGCGGCGUGCCUAAUACAUGCAAGUCGAGCGAGUGUAGCAAUACACGAGCGGCGGACGGGUGAGUAACGCGUGGGCAACCUGCCCUCUAGCCUGGGAUAACAGUUCGAAAGGACUGCUAACACCGGAUAUGCUCACACCCUGACAUCGGGGAGUGAGGAAAGUUUACACUAGAGGAUGGGCCCGCGUCCCAUUAGCUAGUUGGUGAGGUAACGGCUCACCAAGGCGACGAUGGGUAGCCGACCUGAGAGGGUGAUCGGCCACACUGGGACUGAGACACGGCCCAGACUCCUACGGGAGGCAGCAGUAGGGAAUUUUCCGCAAUGGACGAAAGUCUGACGGAGCAACGCCGCGUGAGUGAUGAAGGCCUUCGGGUCGUAAAACUCUGUUGUUAGGGAAGAACAAGUACCGGAGUAACUGCCGGCACCUUGACGGUACCUAACCAGAAAGCCACGGCUAACUACGUGCCAGCAGCCGCGGUAAUACGUAGGUGGCGAGCGUUGUCCGGAAUUAUUGGGCGUAAAGCGCGCGCAGGCGGUCCUUUAAGUCUGAUGUGAAAGCCCACGGCUCAACCGUGGAGGGUCAUUGGAAACUGGGGGACUUGAGUGCAGAAGAGGAAAGCGGAAUUCCACGUGUAGCGGUGAAAUGCGUAGAGAUGUGGAGGAACACCAGUGGCGAAGGCGGCUUUCUGGACGAUAACUGACGCUGAGGCGCGAAAGCGUGGGGAGCAAACAGGAUUAGAUACCCUGGUAGUCCACGCUGUAAACGAUGG
RNAcentral lists this ribosomal RNA (800 nucleotides) under uncultured bacterium. RNAcentral's name for it is "bacterial SSU rRNA". It matches the Rfam family "Bacterial small subunit ribosomal RNA", at positions 8 to 812 of the family's 1533-position model. The record is from RNAcentral.